GGCCGGGUGGUUUAGUGGUCAGGACGUUAACCUCCUAAGCUGAAGAGGCGGGUUCGAUUCCCGCCUCGGCCA
This is a non-coding RNA of Cydia strobilella, 72 nucleotides long. The record is from the annotation of a RefSeq genome assembly. Lineage: Eukaryota; Metazoa; Arthropoda; Insecta; Lepidoptera; Tortricidae.